AGAUACAGCAGCAGCAACAGCAGCUGCAGCGAAUAGCACAGCUGCAGCUCCAACAACAGCAACAGCAGCAGCAGCAGCAGCAGCAGCAGCAGGCUUUGCAGGCCCAGCCACCAAUUCAGCAGCCACCGAUGCAGCAGCCACAGCCUCCGCCCUCCCAGGCUCUGCCCCAGCAGCUGCAGCAGAUGCAUCACACACAGCACCACCAGCCGCCACCACAGCCCCAGCAGCCUCCAGUUGCUCAGAACCAACCAUCACAACUCCAGCCACAGUCGCAGACCCAGCCUUUGGUGUCACAGGCACAAGCUCUCCCUGGACAAAUGUUGUAUACCCAACCACCACUGAAAUUUGUCCGAGCUCCGAUGGUGGUGCAGCAGCCCCCAGUGCAGCCCCAGGUGCAGCAGCAGCAGACAGCAGUACAGACAGCUCAGGCUGCCCAGAUGGUGGCUCCCGGAGUCCAGCUCUGGCCCUGCCCCGUCUCCCAGUAGCUUCCUGCCCAGCCCCUCACCGCAGCCCUCCCAGAGCCCAGUGACGGCGCGGACCCCACAGAACUUCAGUGUCCCCUCACCUGGACCUUUAAACACACCUGUGAACCCCAGCUCUGUCAUGAGCCCAGCUGGCUCCAGCCAGGCUGAGGAGCAGCAGUACCUGGACAAGCUGAAGCAGCUGUCGAAGUACAUCGAGCCCCUGCGCCGCAUGAUCAA
Molecule: small RNA, 701 nt
Filed under: Pan troglodytes (chimpanzee)
Lineage: Eukaryota; Metazoa; Chordata; Mammalia; Primates; Hominidae
Description: processed transcript
Source: RNAcentral